ACGCUCGACACCUACGGGGCAGCAGUGGGGAAUAUUGCACAAUGGGGGAAACCCUGAUGCAGCGACGCCGCGUGAAGGAAGAAGUAUUUCGGUAUGUAAACUUCUAUCAGCAGGGAAGAAAGUGACGGUACCUGAGUAAGAAGCCCCGGCUAACUACGUGCCAGCAGUCGCGGUAAUCUGAGCGGGCUGGCAAGGC
This 196-nucleotide ribosomal RNA is filed under the name uncultured bacterium. Its description in RNAcentral is "partial 16S ribosomal RNA". It matches the Rfam family "Bacterial small subunit ribosomal RNA", at positions 326 to 539 of the family's 1533-position model. The record is from RNAcentral.